CAGUUACUCAGUACCACACCGCA
RNAcentral lists this unclassified non-coding RNA (23 nucleotides) under Mus musculus (house mouse). RNAcentral's name for it is "oocyte_clustered_small_RNA3934". Lineage: Eukaryota; Metazoa; Chordata; Mammalia; Rodentia; Muridae. The record is from RNAcentral.